This 1967-nucleotide long non-coding RNA is filed under the name Equus caballus (horse). RNAcentral's name for it is "lncRNA (ENSECAG00000053159.1)". Lineage: Eukaryota; Metazoa; Chordata; Mammalia; Perissodactyla; Equidae. The record is from RNAcentral.
CCAGGCUGAGCUGGGCCCAGCUGCCUCCAGUUCCCUCCCUCACUUUUCUGUGAGGUGUUGGAAAACAAGGCGUCUCUUUCUGCCCUGGUCAGCUACCAGGACCUGGGGGUGGGUGUCGGGGGACCCCGAUCCCCAGUCUUGGCCCAGCCCAGGAAAGAAGUCUGCUUUGUGGUCCUGCAUCCUGUCACCUUCUGGACACAAGAGGGCCGUGAACCACUAUGCCAUAGCUGUACCACAGCUGUGCCACACCUGGAGCAGAGCCAGGCCUGGGGGAGGCAGGUGGCUCUAGGCUCAGCUUAGCCCCGCCCCUCUAUCGCAUGGCAAGUGCCAUACAGUCAUCCACAUGUCCACAGUCACAGAGACAAUUGCCCAACACAAAGCAGACACAGCCACACAGCCACACAAUCUGCCCUCAGGCACAUAAGCCACACCUGGCCACACACACAUAGGCAUGGUCAUAUACUCAGCCAUGUCCACAAACGUGUUGUCAUCCAUUCACAGCAUCAGCCUCAGCCACAUCGUCACAGCCAUACCAGCGACACACACACAUUUAAACACACACGGCCACAAUAUCAUACAUGCUUAUAGCAAAGGUGUCACACAUAUGUAGCUGCACUUGGACUGCAGCUGCACCACCUUCUGAGGGAGCCAGCUGGGCUCAUCUGUCAUCUGACACCAUCAAGUUCCAUUCCUCAUUGCACAGAUGGGGAACUUGAGGUCUAGUGAGGGGUGGCAGCUAGUAGCAUCACCCAGUGGGGAAGGGGGAUGCUCCAGGGCCAGCACCCAGCUCUCGGCUGGCUCUGUGGUCUGGCCUUGCCCACCCCUGGGCCAGGCUGCCUCUGAAGGCCCCUGGCUGAACCCAGGCAACAAAGCUCCAGGCAUCUCCCAUCUCUUGAGCCAGAGCUGAGGCUGCGGCAUCUACGCGAGCAGGAGCCAGGAGGUGGUGGGCAGGGCCCAGGCCUGGGCGGGAGGAACAUUCCUGCACCAUCUCCUCCCCAAGCAUGUGAGGACUGGGCCCGCCCUGCCUGCCUGCCUGCCCGCUGACUCAGGCCUCCGGGAGCCAAGCCUGCUCAGCUCACCACCUACCCCAACUUGCUUCCGCACCAGUUCAGCUCCAGUACCUCUCUCCACUGGCUGGGGCAGAAGGAGACGGUGAGCUGUAGCAAAAAGACCACGGGGAAAAAGAAAAAUUCACCUCCCCCAGACAUAGCUCAAAAGGGCUGAUUGUGAAACCCUGCUCCAGGGUUCAACAUAGUUUAACACAAACCUUUUUUCCUCUGGUUUUGUUUUGUUAGUCAAACCCCAAAUGCAGUCUGGUCUGUUUAAAAAGCAGUGUUUCAUACAGUGGUGGCCUCCUUGGUCUGCACAGCAGCCCUGGUAGGCAUCAUUAUUCCAUUUCACAGAUGAAGAGACCUGCCUAGGAUCAUACAGUGAGGCUGAGGUGGGGCUGGACUUGAACACAGCUCUCUGGCUUCAUUCCUUAAAGUCACAUGAUUAACACAUGUAGGUCCGAAGGAAGAGGGGGUGGCAGAUGUCCGCUCCAGAGGUGUGUAAGAAUGGGAGGCCGGCAAACCAACUGCUGAAAUGCGACGGGACUUUGAGGGUAGGAUGAGUCCCACCAGCCCCCAAGGGAUGAAGAGGCUGACGACAGCAUUGCAUGGUGGCAUCUACAGUGACUCAGGAUCUCCAUUUACAAAUAACCAUGUGUGAGGAACAUCCCUUCAUUUCUCUGUCACUGACCUGAAUUUCUCUUUUGCUUUCUCAUUCUCCCACAUACUAAAAAAGGUAAUCUGAAACCAACGUAGGGAUCCCUCCUUUCCCCAGGGAUGCACAUAAAUUUUGGAGAUGGCAUAUUUGAUGACCAUAGACAGGCCCCUGGCACUUUGAAUUUUAGGGGCUGAAUCACACACAUGAAAUGUGCCUAAUUCCACAUUAAGGGUAAAUCAUAUAUACGGAUUUGAGUUGGG